RNAcentral lists this ribosomal RNA (724 nucleotides) under uncultured bacterium. RNAcentral's name for it is "bacterial SSU rRNA". It matches the Rfam family "Bacterial small subunit ribosomal RNA", at positions 63 to 774 of the family's 1533-position model. The record is from RNAcentral.
CGAGAGGAAGGAAAGCUUGCUUUUCUGAAUCUAGUGGCGAACGGGUGAGUAACACGUAGGUAACCUGCCCAUGUGCCCGGGAUAACUUCUGGAAACGGAUGCUAAAACCGGAUAGGUAGCAGACAAGCAUUUGACUGCUAUUAAAGUGGCCUUGGCCAUGAACAUGGAUGGACCUGCGGUGCAUUAGCUGGUUGGUGAGGUAACGGCCCACCAAGGCGACGAUGCAUAGCCGGCCUGAGAGGGCGGACGGCCACAUUGGGACUGAGACACGGCCCAAACUCCUACGGGAGGCAGCAGUAGGGAAUUUUCGUCAAUGGGGGGAACCCUGAACGAGCAAUGCCGCGUGAGUGAGGAAGGUCUUCGGAUCGUAAAGCUCUGUUGUAAGAGAAAAACGGCACUCAUAGGGAAUGAUGAGUGAGUGAUGGUAUCUUACCAGAAAGUCACGGCUAACUACGUGCCAGCAGCCGCGGUAAUACGUAGGUGGCGAGCGUUAUCCGGAAUGAUUGGGCGUAAAGGGUGCGUAGGUGGCAGAUCAAGUCUGGAGUAAAAGGUAUGGGCUCAACCCGUACUGGCUCUGGAAACUGAUCAGCUAGAGAACAGAAGAGGACGGCGGAACUCCAUGUGUAGCGGUAAAAUGCGUAGAUAUAUGGAAGAACACCGGUGGCGAAGGCGGCCGUCUGGUCUGGAUUCUGACACUGAAGCACGAAAGCGUGGGGAGCAAAUA